Molecule: unclassified non-coding RNA, 253 nt
Filed under: uncultured Alphaproteobacteria bacterium
Lineage: Bacteria; Pseudomonadati; Pseudomonadota; Alphaproteobacteria
Description: contains 16S-23S intergenic spacer region
Rfam family: Bacterial small subunit ribosomal RNA
Source: RNAcentral
UACGAAGGGGGCUAGCGUUGCUCGGAAUCACUGGGCGUAAAGCGCACGUAGGCGGAUCUUUAAGUCAGGGGUGAAAUCCCGGAGCUCAACUCCGGAACUGCCUUUGAUACUGAGGAUCUCGAGUUCGGGAGAGGUGAGUGGAACUGCGGGUGUAGAGGUGAAAUUCGUAGAUAUUCGCAGGAACACCAGUGGCGAAGGCGGCUCACUGGCCCGAUACUGACGCUGAGGUGCGAAAGCGUGGGGAGCAAACAGG